Molecule: ribosomal RNA, 251 nt
Filed under: uncultured bacterium
Lineage: Bacteria
Description: partial 16S ribosomal RNA
Rfam family: Bacterial small subunit ribosomal RNA
Source: RNAcentral
GACGUAGGGGGCAAGCGUUGUCCGGAAUUAUUGGGCGUAAAGAGCUUGUAGGUGGUUUGUCGCGUCUGCUGUGAAAAUCCGAGGCUCAACCUCGGACUUGCAGUGGGUACGGGCAGACUAGAGUGUGGUAGGGGAGACUGGAAUUCCUGGUGUAGCGGUGAAAUGCGCAGAUAUCAGGAGGAACACCGAUGGCGAAGGCAGGUCUCUGGGCCAUUACUGACAGCUGAGAAGCGAAAGCAUGGGGAGCGAAC